UGAGGAAUAUUGGUCAAUGGGCGAGAGCCUGAACCAGCCAAGCCGCGUGAAGGAAGACGGCCCUAGGGUUGUAAAGCACUUUUGUUAGGGAGAACGGGUAUUAUGGUUAAUAACCAUAGUAUCUGAUGUUACCUAAAGAAUAAGCACCGGCUAACUCCGUGCCAGCAGCCGCGGUAAUACGGAGGGUGCAAGCGUUAAUCGGAAUUACUGGGCGUAAAGGGCGCGUAGGUGGUAUCUUAAGUUGGGUGUGAAAGCCCGGCUGCUAACCUGGGAAUUGCAUCCAAAACUGGGUACUAGAGUGUGGUAGAGGGUAGCGGAAUUUCUGGUGUAGCGGUGAAAUGCGUAGAUAUCAGAAGGAACAUCAAUGGCGAAGGCAGCUACCUGGGCCAACACUGACGCUGAGGCGCGAAAGCAUGGGGGAGCAAACAGGAUUAGAUACC
RNAcentral lists this ribosomal RNA (440 nucleotides) under uncultured bacterium. Its description in RNAcentral is "bacterial SSU rRNA". It matches the Rfam family "Bacterial small subunit ribosomal RNA", at positions 355 to 786 of the family's 1533-position model. The record is from RNAcentral.